UCUCCAGUUAGUCUUCCAGGCUUUCAGCAUCAAUUGGGAUUGCCGAACCAUUCACCAGGCUUUCAGCAUCGAUUGAUCGAUUGGGAUUGCCGAGCCAUCUACCGGGCUUUCAGCAUCUACUGACCGAUUGGGAUUGCCGAGCCAUCUACCAGGCUUUCAGUGUCGACAGACCGAUUGAAUUGCCGAGCCAUAUACCGGGCUUUCAGCAUCGACAGACCGAUUGGGAUUGCCGAGCCAUCUACCGGGCUUUCAGCAUCGACAGACCGAUUGGGAUUGCCGAGCCAUCUACCGGGCUUUCAGCAUCGACAGACCGAUUGGGAUUGCCGAGCCGUCUACCGGGCUUUCAGCAUCGAUUGACCGGUUGGGAUUGCCGAGCAAUCCAGCCUCGUGAACGGAGCAGCUACCAGUUCUUAGCUUCCUCAGUGUAAAGACAGUUACUGUGGGGACAGCUCAGACCACGCGUAAACCCUUUUGUAUACUCACUGUACCGGUUCUGUUCCUCUAGAGGACCCUGAAACCCCACACCACGUUCUACUUCUUUCAGGAAGCUGUACUGUCAGGUGUCCUUGACAGCGAUUAAAACAAAAACAAAGUCAGACCUCAUCCCAUGGGAUGAUGUUGCCCACAUCCAAGAAGGAGCUUCCCUUCUCAGUUAAAGCUUUCUGGGGACACCCUCAGAGAGGUAAACCCGUCCAGAACUCUGCACCGACGAGCCCAGAGGAGUGUCUCCUAAGCGAUUCCAAACCCAGGCAAGCUGUCUUGAAGAUUAACCAACACAGCAACGCUUUUCAGUUUUUUGAACUAGAUUCAUUCAGCGCUUCAUUUCCAACUUUUUAAUGUUUUCCAAAGUCGUAUUUUCCUUGUGGAAUGUUUCUAUGAUGUUACUGACUUCAUCAAUAUUGCUGAAUUUCUUGCCUGUUCUACCUUUCAUCUAUGUUGCUGCUUACUUUCAAUUUUGUAACUUGAUUCAUUUGCUUGUUUAUAUCCUCUUU
Myodes glareolus (Bank vole) is the source of this 992-nucleotide non-coding RNA. Lineage: Eukaryota; Metazoa; Chordata; Mammalia; Rodentia; Cricetidae. The record is from RefSeq and is a predicted model, not a curated record.